CCUACGGGUGGCAGCAGUGAGGAAUAUUGGUCAAUGGGCGCGAGCCUGAACCAGCCAAGUCGCGUGAGGGAUGAAGGUUCUAUGGAUCGUAAACUUCUUUUAUAAGGGAAUAAAGUGUGGCACGUGUCCUAUUCUGUAUGUACCUUAUGAAUAAGGAUCGGCUAACUCCGUGCCAGCAGCCGCGGUAACACGGAGGAUCCGAGCGUUAUCCGGAUUUAUUGGGUUUAAAGGGUGGGUAGGUGGUCUUUUAAUUCAGGGGGAAAUGUCUGUGGCAAAACCUUAGAAGUGCCGUUGAAACUGGGGGGCUGGAGUGUGGUUGAGGCAGGCGGAAUGCGUGGUGUAGCGGUGAAAUGCUUAGAUAUCACGCAGAACCCCGAUUGCGAAGGCAGCCUGCCAAGCCGUGACUGACGCUGAUGCACGAAAGCGUGGGUAUCAAACAGGAUUAGAUACCCGAGUAGUC
Molecule: ribosomal RNA, 460 nt
Filed under: uncultured bacterium
Lineage: Bacteria
Description: partial 16S ribosomal RNA
Rfam family: Bacterial small subunit ribosomal RNA
Source: RNAcentral